This 253-nucleotide ribosomal RNA is filed under the name uncultured bacterium. RNAcentral describes it as "partial 16S ribosomal RNA". It matches the Rfam family "Bacterial small subunit ribosomal RNA", at positions 524 to 776 of the family's 1533-position model. The record is from RNAcentral.
UACGUAGGGGACAAGCGUUAUCCGGAUUUACUGGGCGUAAAGCGCGCGCAGGCGGUCAUCUACGUCUGGGGUGAAAGCCCGGAGCUCAACUCCGGGACUGCCUUGGAUACGGGAUGACUUGAGGAUCGGAGAGGCAAGGGGAAUUCCACGUGUAGCGGUGAAAUGCGUAGAGAUGUGGAGGAACACCUGUGGCGAAGGCGCCUUGCUGGCCGAUUUCUGACGCUGAGGCGCGAAAGCGUGGGGAGCAAACAGG